CCUAUGGGGGGCAGCAGUGGGGGAUAUUGCACAAUGGGGGGAACCCUGAUGCAGCGACGCCGCGUGGGUGAAGAAGCGCCUCGGCGCGUAAAGCCCUGUCAGCAGGGAAGAAAAUGACGGUACCUGAAGGAGAAGCCCCGGCUAACUACGUGCCAGCAGCCGCGGUAAUACGUAGGGGGCAAGCGUUAUCCGGAUUUACUGGGUGUAAAGGGUGCGCAGGCGGGAGAUCAAGUCAGCGGUAAAAUGUCGGGGCUCAACCCCGGCCGGCCGUUGAAACUGGUUUUCUAGAGUUGGAGAGA
Molecule: ribosomal RNA, 299 nt
Filed under: uncultured bacterium
Lineage: Bacteria
Description: partial 16S ribosomal RNA
Rfam family: Bacterial small subunit ribosomal RNA
Source: RNAcentral